RNAcentral lists this long non-coding RNA (633 nucleotides) under Actinidia chinensis (golden kiwifruit). Its description in RNAcentral is "long non-coding RNA (ACHI_LNC003709)". Lineage: Eukaryota; Viridiplantae; Streptophyta; Magnoliopsida; Ericales; Actinidiaceae. The record is from RNAcentral.
AGGCGGCUUCUCCAAUUCCUCUGUUUCCCAUUCUUCUUUGCAAUUUCUUCACAGCAAGCACCAAACAGAUUACUCGAUGCCAUCACCCUAAAAUCUAUGGAGCUUCACAUUUCCACCAGUAUCUACAAAAUUUCUCACCCUUCCUUUGACUCUUACUCACCUAAAUAGCUCUUCAAAUCUCGCGUAUUUCAUGGCAUAAAGUUCAGAAGGAAAUUGAAAUCCAAUUCCAGGCCCCUCCGAGUCGCGUUGCUUUCUGAAAAACUGAACGUGAAUUCGUUUCCCGAGAAUCGGGAGGAGUCUGGGAAUUCCUGUGAAGGCUCCAAGUUCAUUAAAGUGAUUGGAAUCGGCAGCAGAAAAGAUGCAGUUGUCGACUUCUGUUUGGAUUUGCCUCUUCUUUGGCCCUCCUUGAGGUUUUGAUAUGCUCAUUGUAUCAUGUCUCCGUUGUUAGUUAUGUAGUAUGUGAUUUUGUCUUUGUAUAUUUUAUUUCUUCUCUAGAAUUGUUCUUAAUAAGAUGUGUAUAUAAAUGACUAAGGAGCUCCAUAAGCAAAGUGUUGUAAAUGCUCAGAAGGAUUUUUUUGGUUUGUUUGUUUGCGGGUGGGGAAAGUAUUGUAUGUUGAACAUAUAUCGAGGACG